Molecule: long non-coding RNA, 1302 nt
Filed under: Homo sapiens (human)
Lineage: Eukaryota; Metazoa; Chordata; Mammalia; Primates; Hominidae
Description: HSALNT0195460
Source: RNAcentral
GUACUUCAUUACAUCUUUGGAGCUAUUUGAUGUUCCACACUGGGGAAGGAAGUCUCUUUCUGUCUCUCUCUCUAUGCCUCCCUCUCUCUUGUUCUGUUUCUCUCACCCUGUUUUCUGUUUCUCUCUGCCUCUUUUCUCACUCUGUCUCUCUCUUUCUGCUUCUCUGUCUUCAUCUCCCUACCUCUGCUUCUCUUAAAAUUAAUUACUUUCUUAUUACGAAAGCAACAGAAAUUAUUGUAGAAAAUUUCCCACAUAUAAAUAAGAAAAUUGAAGAGAUCUCAAUCCACCCUCCUCAAGAUAACCACUUGGUCAUGAUUAGCACCUUACAAUACCUCCUUUUAGACAUUUUGUGUUUGUCUCCAAUGCACAUUAAUGACUCUGGAAGUAGCUUGCCUGGAUAUGAGUCUCAGCGCCUCCAGCCCAUGACCCAGAACUUGAGUAACUUAUUUCCUCUUGGCAACUUGGUAUUCUCUGCCUUAAAAUAAGGACAAUAAUGGUCCCUUCUACACCAGUGAGGUUGUCAUGAUGUCUAUAUGAGCGGAUACUGGUAAAGCAAUUAGCCCACAGGCAGGUACUUGGUAAUAGCUUAAUAAUCAUUAGCUAGUCCGCACACAUGAAGAGAGAUGCUACUGCUGCUGUACCUAGUAUUUCCUAACUUGCUUUUCCCUUUAACAAUAUAUUGAAAUAAACUACGUUUCCAUUGUCCAUAAAUCCUUAUCUAUAGUGUCAUUUUUGGUGGCUGGAAGCAGCAGCCUGUUCUUCCCACUCCCUAAACCCCAUGCCUGUAUGGGUAUUUAGCAGGACAAACCAGAAGAGCAAUAAUUCCACGAAAUCAAGACCCAUGUCUUUUUUUUUUUUUUUUUUUUUUUUUGAGACAGGGACUUACUCUGUCCUCCAGGCUGGAGUGCAGUGGUGUGAUCACAGGUCACUACAGCCUUGAACUCUCGGGCUCAAGCAAACCUCCUCCCUCAGACUCCCAAGUAGCUGGGACCACAGGUGUAUGCAACUACAGCUGGCUAAUUUUUUUUCAGAUCCAAUGUCUAUCUCAUUCAUUCCUGGUCUCUGUUCAUAGCAGAGUCAGAAGCAGCUCAUACUCUCAAUAAAUGUAGUUUAGAUGGAUGGGUGGGUCGGUGGAUGGAUGGAUGGAUGGAUGGAUGGAUGGAUGGAUGGAUGGAUGGAUUAGAGGACACAAGGGUCAAGCCCCAAGUGUCCUCUGAUGGGAAGGCUGGAUCUCAGAUUUGGGUCCCAGUCAUUAGGAUACAAGCCAGGGCAGGGACCAUGAGGCAUUGGAGAAUGAGCAAC